GACGUAGGGGGCGAGCGUUGUCCGGAUUUAUUGGGCGUAAAGCGCGCGUAGGCGGGCUUUCAAGUCGGUUGUGAAAUCCCUCAGCUCAACUGAGGAACUGCAUCCGAUACUGUUUGUCUUGAGGACGAGAGGGGAGAGUGGAACUUCUGGUGGAGCGGUGAAAUGCGUAGAUAUCAGAAGGAACGCCGGUGGCGAAAGCGACUCUCUGGCUCGUAUCUGACGCUGAGGCGCGAAAGCUUGGGUAGCAAACGGG
RNAcentral lists this ribosomal RNA (253 nucleotides) under uncultured bacterium. RNAcentral describes it as "partial 16S ribosomal RNA". It matches the Rfam family "Bacterial small subunit ribosomal RNA", at positions 524 to 776 of the family's 1533-position model. The record is from RNAcentral.